Non-coding RNA from Puma concolor (puma), 711 nucleotides. The record is from RefSeq and is a predicted model, not a curated record. NCBI's taxonomy places the organism in Eukaryota, Metazoa, Chordata, Mammalia, Carnivora, Felidae.
UCUAUAGGUUUCCAGGAGUGGCCAGAACAACUCCGUGUUCACUCUCUAUGAGCUGACCAAUGGGGAAGACACAGAGGAUGAGGAGUUCCAUGGGCUGGAUGAAGCAACCCUACUCCGGGCUCUGCAGGCCCUACAGCAGGAGCACAAGGCUGAGAUCAUCACUGUCAGCGAUGGCCGAGGCGUCAAGUUCUUCUAGCAGAGACCUGUCUCCUUUUACUUCUUACCUCCCACCCUUCCAGGGCUUUCAAAAGGAGACAGACCCAGUGACCCCACAGACUGGAUCUGUGACUCCACCAGACUCAAAAGGGCUCCAGUCCAAGGAUGGGUUUCCCACUUACCCACGUUUCUGUCCCUGGGGAAGGGCGAGGCUGAGGCGCCUGGGAGAAAAGAUGUGCUUCUCCUUGCCCUACCUCCUCUCCCAUCCUAGACUGUCCCUGAGCCAGGGUCUGUAAACCUAUAACUCCACAUGUGUUCACACACGUAAGUACAUACACACGCCUGCACAAGCUUCUGUCUCUUCCCCUACCCACCCCCUUAGCUGCUAUUGCCUCCCCUCUCAGGCUGGUGCUGGAUCCUUCUUAGGGGAUGGGAGAAGCCCUGGCUGCAGGCAGCCUUCCAGGCAACAUGAAGAUAGGAGGCCCAGGAAGGGGCCUGGCAGUGAGAGGCCAGGCCCGACACUGAUUUUAUGAUAUUAAAAAGCUCAUCCCCACU